RNAcentral lists this ribosomal RNA (524 nucleotides) under uncultured bacterium. RNAcentral describes it as "bacterial SSU rRNA". It matches the Rfam family "Bacterial small subunit ribosomal RNA", at positions 777 to 1300 of the family's 1533-position model. The record is from RNAcentral.
AAUAGAUACCCAGGUAGUCCUAGCCGUAAACGAUGAGCACUAGAGUCGGGGAGACCUCCGACAUCUUCUCGAUCGUAGCGAAAGUGCUAAGUGCCCCGCCUGGGGAGUACGGCCGCAAGGCUAAAACUCAAAGGAAUUGACGGGGGCCCGCACAAGCGGCGGAGCAUGCGGAUUAAUUCGAUGCAACGCGAAGAACCUUACCAAGGCUUGACAUAUACGGUCUAUCCCUAGAGAUAGGGAGUGCUUCGGCGCCGUAUACAGGUGGUGCAUGGUUGUCGUCAGCUCGUGUCGUGAGAUGUUGGGUUAAGUCCCGCAACGAGCGCAACCCUCGUCCUAUGUUGCCAGCGGAUAAUGCCGGGGACUCAUGGGAGACUGCCGGGGUCAACUCGGAGGAAGGUGGGGAUGAGGUCAAAUCAUCAUGCCCCUUAUGUCUUGGGCUUCACGCAUGCUACAAUGGCCGGUACAAAGGGCUGCAAUACCGCGAGGUGGAGCGAAUCCCAAAAAGCCGGUCUCAGUUCGGAUUG